This 310-nucleotide ribosomal RNA is filed under the name uncultured bacterium. RNAcentral describes it as "partial 16S ribosomal RNA". It matches the Rfam family "Bacterial small subunit ribosomal RNA", at positions 503 to 808 of the family's 1533-position model. The record is from RNAcentral.
AAGAGACAGCAGUAGCCACGGGAAUACGUAGGUGGCAAGCGUUGUCCGGAAUCAUUGGGCGUAUAGGGAGCGCAGGCGGGCAUGUAAGUCUUUCUUAAAAGUUCGGGGCUCAACCCCGUGAUGGGAAAGAAACUACAUGUCUUGAGUACAGGAGAGGAAAGCGGAAUUCCCAGUGUAGCGGUGAAAUGCGUAGAUAUAUGGAGGAGCACCGGUGGCGAAAGCGGCUCUCUGGCUUGUAACUGACGCUGAGGCUCGAAAGCGUGGGGAGCAAACAGGAUUAGAUACCCCCGUAGUCCCUGUCUCUUAUACA